GAUCCAGUCUCUCUGCCAGCCCAUAUCCUCCUCCUUAGCCGUGCGAGCACAGCUGCAAUCCAUUGCAGGCGAGAGGAGGGUAUAUAUUCAAAGGAGGGAAAGCAGUCAUUCACGGUCCAGCUUAGAUCUGGACAACAUGACUUCUUCCCUCCACUGAUCUCUCCAAGCUGUCCAAAAUCUAAAUAAACUAUCUCACCAAUUAAGAAUAAUCUGGGCCCAGAUAGACUUGGCUCCAGCAGCACUCUUAUUUGUGGGAGAUCCAGGCUACACACCAGAGGAUCUAAUUACCAAUCCCCUGGUUAAUUGUUUACACCAGUGAUUCUAGACCAGAAUGCAGCUCGUGCUUUUAAUCACAUGAUCGGAAUGACUUUUCCAUGGUACAGCUUUUUCAGCUAUUAACGGUUGAUCCUUCGCUAUACCCCUGAAGAAAGAGAGACACCUCUCAGAAACGUUGGGAUAAUUUGAAGAAUCACAUUAUAUAGUGCAAUUUUGUAUAUUUGUACUUGUCUGUUCAACGAUUUAUGUCUACCCCAGAU
Long non-coding RNA from Rana temporaria (common frog), 536 nucleotides. RefSeq lists it as uncharacterized. The record is from RefSeq and is a predicted model, not a curated record. Lineage: Eukaryota; Metazoa; Chordata; Amphibia; Anura; Ranidae. The transcript is spliced from 4 exons.